AGAGUUUGAUUAUGGCUCAGGAUGAACGCUAGCGAUAGGCCUAACACAUGCAAGUCGAGGGGCAGCACAUGAAGUAGCAAUACGGAUGGUGGCGACCGGCGCACGGGUGAGUAACGCGUAUGCAACCUGCCUACAACAGGGGAAUAACCCGUUGAAAGACGGACUAAUACCCCAUAACACAGGGAUCCCGCAUGGGAAUAUUUGUUAAAGAUUUAUCGGUUGUAGAUGGGCAUGCGUUCCAUUAGCUUGUUGGUGAGGUAACGGCUCACCAAGGCAACGAUGGAUAGGGGAACUGAGAGGUUUAUCCCCCACACUGGUACUGAGACACGGACCAGACUCCUACGGGAGGCAGCAGUGAGGAAUAUUGGUCAAUGGACGCAAGUCUGAACCAGCCACGCCGCGUGAAGGAAGACGGCCCUACGGGUUGUAAACUUCUUUUGUAAGGGAAUAAAGUGCAGUACGUGUACUGUUUUGCAUGUACCUUACGAAUAAGGAUCGGCUAACUCCGUGCCAGCAGCCGCGGUAAUACGGAGGAUCCGAGCGUUAUCCGGAUUUAUUGGGUUUAAAGGGUGCGCAGGCGGGAGAUUAAGUCGGCGGUGAAAUUUUGCAGCUCAACUGUAAAAGUGCCUUCGAAACUGGUUUUCUUGAGUGUGGAUGAAGUAGGCGGAAUUUGUGGUGUAGCGGUGAAAUGCAUAGAUAUCACGAGGAACUCCGAUUGCGCAGGCAGCUUACUAAACCAUAACUGACGCUCACGCACGAAGGCGUGGGGAUCAAACAGGAUUAGAUACCCUGGUAGUC
Molecule: ribosomal RNA, 798 nt
Filed under: uncultured Porphyromonadaceae bacterium
Lineage: Bacteria; Pseudomonadati; Bacteroidota; Bacteroidia; Bacteroidales; Porphyromonadaceae
Description: bacterial SSU rRNA
Rfam family: Bacterial small subunit ribosomal RNA
Source: RNAcentral